UUGUUGGUGUAAUGUGGCAGUAUCGUAGCCAAUGAGGUUAAUCCGAGGCACGAUUAUUGCUAAUUGAAAACUUUGCCCUCUUAUUAUUGCAUUUUAAUUAAAACCAAUUUUGUAGUUGCUUAUACAA
RNAcentral lists this small nuclear RNA (127 nucleotides) under Terrapene triunguis (Three-toed box turtle). RNAcentral's name for it is "Terrapene carolina triunguis (Three-toed box turtle) U4 spliceosomal RNA (ENSTMTG00000018991.1)". It matches the Rfam family "U4 spliceosomal RNA". From Rfam's summary of the family: U4 small nuclear RNA (U4 snRNA) is a component of the major U2-dependent spliceosome. Lineage: Eukaryota; Metazoa; Chordata; Testudines; Emydidae. The record is from Rfam by way of RNAcentral.